This is a non-coding RNA of Porphyromonas gingivalis W83, 399 nucleotides long. It matches the Rfam family "Bacterial RNase P class A". Rfam says of the family: Ribonuclease P (RNase P) is a ubiquitous endoribonuclease, found in archaea, bacteria and eukarya as well as chloroplasts and mitochondria. Its best characterised activity is the generation of mature 5'-ends of tRNAs by cleaving the 5'-leader elements of precursor-tRNAs. Lineage: Bacteria; Pseudomonadati; Bacteroidota; Bacteroidia; Bacteroidales; Porphyromonadaceae. The record is from Rfam.
GCAGCAGAUCGGUCUGUCGCUCACUCUUUCGAGAGUGGGAGGAACGUCCGGGCAACGCAGAGCACCAUCCUUCCUAACAGGAAGUUACUCGUGAGGGUAAAGGAGCGUAGAAGAGAAUGACCGCCAUUUUCCAUGAGUUGUCUGUGCUUCGGUACGGACUACGUGGAGGGUAAGGGUGAGAAGGUGGGGUAAGAGCCUACCGGAUGCAGCGGUGACGCUGCAUGCCGUACGUCUGAUGGGUUGUAAGAUCAUGUAUACCGGCGCAUGUAGGGUGGCUCGCCCGAUGCCGGGGGGUAGAUCGCUGGAGCCAUGCGGUGACGCACGGCCAAGAUAAAUGACAGACGCUCUGGCUACGUGUGGCCGUGAGUACAGAACCCGGCUUACAGAUCUGCUGCUUUU